GUCCGGAAGAGGAUGGCCGUAAUAGGGAAUCCGGUGGGGGCUCUGAGUCCGAUUCCGGAGCUGUUCCCGCAGCUGUAAUCCCCAGCAAAGGCAUCUGUCAGAUAAAGGGUCACUGUCGCGAAGACGGGAAGGCCGACGGAUGUGGGGUAAGCCAGAAGACCUGCCUGCGUU
RNAcentral lists this non-coding RNA (171 nucleotides) under uncultured Alistipes sp. The record is from RNAcentral. Lineage: Bacteria; Pseudomonadati; Bacteroidota; Bacteroidia; Bacteroidales; Rikenellaceae.